AAGGGGAGAGAGAAGGGUGGGGAUGAGGCUUUCGUUGCCCACCGUUCAUCCAAGAUAAAACCCUUUUCCUUUCUCCCUGCAAAUAUAUUGCUCACCACAACAUCAUACCAAAGCAAAAGGAGAGAGCUUUCAUUUGUUUUGGGAAGAAGAUAAACUAACUCGAUUGAGAGAGAGCAAAAUGGCACUAAGAAUAUGGGCAUCUUCAACUGCUAAUGCUUUGCGACUCUCAGUUGCCUCCAAAGCUCCUGCUUUCUCUUCCCUCUCCAGAUGCUUCUCCACUGGUAAUAAUCGUAUUAACAAUCCCCACCCUUUUAAUUUCCUGUUUAUGUCUUUAAUUAUGAACUGUAAGCAAAUCUGUAUAUGGCCAUGGUUGCAGUAAUGGAUGGAGUUAAGUACGCAAAGUCACACGAGUGGGUGAAGCAUGAUGGUUCUGUGGCUCUUGUUGGCAUCACUGAUCACGCUCAGGUACUCAUUUCAUUCCCUUGUUCGAUAAGAUAGACUUUUGGGUAAGAUGUUUUCGUAUUAAUUCUUAAUUUAGUAACAGGUGGAAAUCCUUUAUAUGGUAGAUUAAGAUUGGACAUGAUAUACUAACGUGGUAUUUGAGAUAUUGAGGUGAAUUAUUAUUGAAUUGGUUGCUAAUAUUAAUGAAGUGCAGGAUCAUCUUGGGGAAGUUGUGUUCGUGGAGUUGCCGGAGAGUGGGAGUUCAGUGAGCCAAGGAGGAAGCUUUGCUAACAUUGAGAGUGUUAAAGCUACCAGUGAUGUCAACUCCCCAAUUUCAGGGGACAUUGUUGAAGUUAACACCAAGCUCACUGAAACCCCAGGACUGGU
This 828-nucleotide long non-coding RNA is filed under the name Linum usitatissimum (flax). RNAcentral's name for it is "long non-coding RNA (LUSI_LNC004421)". Lineage: Eukaryota; Viridiplantae; Streptophyta; Magnoliopsida; Malpighiales; Linaceae. The record is from RNAcentral.